Syngnathoides biaculeatus (alligator pipefish) is the source of this 4705-nucleotide RNA transcript. It is a transcript of the gene named SRSF protein kinase 3-like, with no coding region annotated. The record is from RefSeq and is a predicted model, not a curated record. The transcript is spliced from 13 exons. Lineage: Eukaryota; Metazoa; Chordata; Actinopteri; Syngnathiformes; Syngnathidae.
UGGGUAACAGAAAGCCUGUCAGCAGCUGUUUUGGGAUGUGCGAGCUCACGUCAAGCGCAACACGCCAAGAAUAACCUCGUAGCUUUUGCCACAGACACCCCGCUAAUCCGGAACAGACCGGAAAGUGGAGAAAGAAAGACGCUGUUUCCCCACUAACCCAUAGCCUUAUAUCGUAUUGACUAAGUUGACAGGAUGGAAGAACUGCUAACAGAAGCAAGCCAGUAGUCAGCUGGGAUGGUCCACGCUGAUCCGCUUGGCUUUGACAAUGCAAAUAGCAGCCUCCACCGGGAUGGCAAGUACAAGCUCUGCCUCCGGCACCAAGAAGCACAGACGGCGUGGUAAAAAGCACCGCAGAAUUCGCACUGAGGAGACCUGUUGUGAUGACCUUUGUGACAGACCACAACCCCAGAUGCAGGAUGACCUUUCAGUCACACCUUUCACACCAAAAACGAUCCUAACUCAAGGAAGUACCACAGUUGAAGACCAAGAAAUGACCCCCCAUUCUUUGGAUAAAUGCUGCCCUGACCAGGACCCCCCCACCAGAGAUUUAACAUAUAGCGCUUUAGCUUGCCCCCGGUGUCCUAAAAAUAUUCCCCAGAGCGCCAUGCCCCUGUCUUGUAUUCCCCUGACAGUGACACAACUCAACCAGCCACUUUCUAUUACACAUUACAGGUCAGCCCACAACCAGUCACUUCCUGUUACACAUGAGAGUUCUGCCCACAGCCAGCCAAUUACUUUCCCAGCUCAGAGUCCCACCCACAGGAAAUCCCUUCCUGUUACACCUCUGAGGAGACAUUUACUUCCCGUCACAUCUCAGAGCCCCUCUCAUAGUCAUUCACCUCCCAAUUCAAAUCAAAGCUUUACGCAGAGCCAGCCACAUUCUGCCCUGGCUCACAGUCUUGCCCACAGCAAAUCACUCUCUGUUUCACCACAGAGCAGAGAUUUACUUCCUGUUACAUCUCAGACCCUUGUCUACAACCAGUCACUUCCUAUGCCAUCUCAGAGCUCCACUCAUAGCCAGUCAACUUCUAUUCUCUUUCAAAAUCCCACCAAUAGCCAGACACUUCCUGUCUCAUCUCAAAGCCCCACCCAUAGUCAGUCACUUUUUAUGUUAUCUCAAAACUCCGCACACAGGCAGGUACUUCCUGUCUCAGCUCAAAUUUAUGCAUACAGCCAGUCAUUUCCUGUACCAUCUCUGAGCCCCACCCAUAGCACAAGUCAAUCACCAUCAAACUUCAGUAAGGAAAUGCCAUAUGAUUUCAGCGCAUGGACUCAUUUACGUUUUGAAAAUACAAAAUCUACUCCAGCAACAGCUAAAACCACCAGCCUUUUCCCAGCAAAUGCCUCAACCACUGCUCCGUUAAAUACUUCCCACCCAGAUCCAUUACUUCUCACCUCUGUUAACUUCACGACCAAUGUCUCCUCCUCUCCCGUCUGUUCCUCUCUCUGGUCCUCCUCUGGCACCUCCCUUCAAAACUCAAAACCUCGCCCUUCAACCUCUGUGAUGUCAUCAGUGCCAAUGUGCACAACCAUCCCCCCACUGGCCCAACUGAACCCACCACCUGGAGAGUUAACGCUGCCCCCUGCUCAGCCUUUAGGUUCUGAUGAUGAAGAGCAAGAAGACCCGUCAGAUUACUGCAAAGGUGGUUACUACCCGGUCGCCAUUGGGGACCUCUUUAAUGGGAGGUACCAUGUAGUCCGCAAACUUGGCUGGGGACAUUUCUCUACUGUAUGGCUCUGCUGGGACCUGCAGAAGAAACGCUUUGUAGCAUUGAAGGUGGUGAAGAGCGCACCCCAUUACACAGAGACAGCACUGGAUGAGAUCAAAUUACUCAGAUGUGUGAGAGACAGUGACCCCUCUGACCCCCACAGAGAGACGAUUGUCCAACUGAUUGAUGACUUUAAGAUUUCUGGAGUCAACGGAGUGCAUGUGUGUAUGGUUCUGGAAGUUCUUGGUCAUCAGCUGUUAAAAUGGAUAAUCAAGUCAAAUUACAUGGGCCUUCCUCUGGUAUGCGUUAAGAGCCUCAUUAGACAGGUGUUGCAGGGUCUGGACUACCUGCACACGAAGUGUAAGAUCAUCCAUACAGACAUAAAACCAGAGAACAUAUUGUUGGAUGUGGAUGAGGUCUACAUUAGAAGGCUGGCUGCCGAGGCCACUAUCUGGCAGAGAGUGGGUGCCCCACCCCCUUCUGGAUCAUCAGUCAGCACUGCUCACUUGGGCAUCCAGGUUGGUAAAAUGUCCAAAAACAAGAAGAAAAAGUUGAAGAGAAAAGCAAAGCGGCAGGAGAAACUAUUAGAAGAGAGACUGAUGGACAUUCAGAAGUUGGAUGAGGAAGAUGGCAUGCUCACUAACUUCCUUCCACUCAUCAAUGGCAACACUUCCUGCAAUGCAAUCAAUGACAAAGUGAACCCAUUGUCAUCUUGUUCCUGGUUGGAGGACAGUUGCCAUGGCCCAGGGCGGUUUUCCAGCCCCAUGUCUGGCAUCUCGGGGUUCUCCAGCUCUGCGAUCUCAGCCACAUCGGAAUCAACUCUUUCCACGCAUUCAGGAUGCUCCAGUGGACAAGACUGUGAGGAUACACUCCAUUCAAAGACAAUUGACCUUUCGCAAAACCCCCCGCCACUCCCUUUUAACCGUUCAACAAUGACUCUCCCACCCUCUUCACUCCCCGGACUAGGGUCUUUCAAAUUUCAAAUUUUGACAGAAAUAGCCAAGGUGUGCAAUAUGCUUUUGAAGGUUAAAUCCAUGCAAGCAAACCAAAUUGCGAUGCUAAGAUAACAACGUAUUCACAUCGCAGAUUAUUUUUAGCCAUCUUUUUACUGUUACAGUGUUCCCCUGCCUGUCAUGCAUUACUUGCGACUAUCUAUUUUUCAAGUUUUUUGGGGAACCCAUCUGCCAUGAUCUGCUUAAAAAAAUGGCCCCUUUUUGUUGUUUGUGCUUUUUAAAAUGCUCGAAUUUGCAACAACAUUACACCAAAACUGUGUCGAACAGCAGUAAGAUGCUACAAGAUAGUGUCAAAAGCCCUGUCUAGGUUUCAUGAAUGUAUGUUGGGAUGAUGCAUCUCAAAAUGAGGGACAAGGGGGAAACAUAUUAGGGAGAUGUCUAGAAUUCAAUUUCUGUCCUGCCUUUAAGAACGGGAUUACUUUGCAGUCAUUCAAAAGCAAAGGCCAAUAGGCUUAUGCAAACGUUGCAACCAGGAACAUGUAGCUGACCUAUUUAAUUUAACAGGCUAUGGCCUCAUCUUGACGUUAUAAUUUGAGAGUAUAAAGAGUGGAACCACGGAGUUUGGACGACUCAGUGGUUAUAAAAAUCUGUUUUUGACCCAAAAAUCUGCAUAAAAAAUACCUCUCUUCUCAACCGUCACCAUUUUCACGGUGCCAUAUUACCAAAAAGAGCUGCUCGACAGUGUGGGGGACGUUAAACUGGAGCAGAAUAUACACAAUGCCCGAGAUUUGUUGUGCUGUUGGUUGUUACAACAGACGAGAUAGAUAUUCAAAGAGAUCAUUCUAUGGAGUACCAGCUGAAAAGACCACAAAAUAUCGAUGGAUAUCGGCAAUUAAACGUGAUGGAUGGCGGCCAACAAAAUACACACAACUGUGUAGCGAUCACUUCACUUCAGGUGCAUGAGCUCUAUUCUCAGUGUGUGAACCACCGAGCAAAGCUAAACCCAUCUCGACCAGCGAGCGAACUCGAGCUGAGCGAUGCCAAAUGCACACGGGGUGGUGCCAAGACGAGUCUUCGCCCACUGCAAGUCAAGCAAUCACCCACAAUCAAGUCAGUGCGUGCCCAUCGUGUGAGCAUGGAUUUUUGUGAAUGCUUCUCAAGAUUAUUUUUCUAGUAUUUUCUUUGCCAUGGGCCCAAAGAAAAACAGCGGUGCUCCCAGUAGCGAAGGAAAAGAAAAGUUGAACAAACCACAAUGAAUCUAAGUGUGUGAAGUACGAAAAUAGGGUGUUUGUUAAUGGUCUUGCUAGCAACGUAUGCCUAAAUCGACUAUUUCAACUCUGCUAAACAAUAAAAAUUUAAGAAAAGGCAGCUGGUGUUGCCAAAGGUGUGACUAGCAUUACAAAGCAAAGGGCACAGAUAGAAGAAAUGGAGAAGCUACUGGAGAAUUACACUGUCAAUCAUGGAGGGGUGACGUGGAAACUUCCGCCUUCCCUCUCGAGACCUUCCAAUACCAUCGCACCGCCUCCAACAAAGUUAAUGAUACACAUUUAAGUUGCUUUAAUUUUAUGCAUUUUUUUAUUAUUUAAAUGCACGCAGUACAUGUUUUUAUAUAAAUAUGAAUUAAAAUUGGAAUUUACUAUUUGGAGGUUGUUAACGUAUUAAACUAAUUUACAUGAUUUCCUAUGGGAGAAUGUUUUAUAUGUUGGACUUUGAACACUUGCCAAGAAUGAAGUUCUGUUCAAUCUCACUGUAUUUUACAGCUAAUAAAAAUAUAUUGCUUACGUUGAGCCAGACAUAGGCAUGAGUGUUGAUUUUUGACAGAUUUAAAUGAACAACUGCAUUGUUUAAUCUUGAGCCUGUUUUUUUGUGACUUACUCUGGAUAAGAUUGAUUGGAUUUAACAGACCACGUCUCGGAAACUGUCAAAUCUGUCUUCUCUCCUGCUGUGAAUGGUCAGUUUGCGUUUGGGAUUGUGGUUUAGCGAAAGGUUAAUUAAACAGCAUACAUGACUAUCAGUUACCUCCGUUCUGGAAAAAAAAACGAC